GGGGCCGCCCUGGUUUCGACGGGGGUGAUGAGGCCAAAGUUGCAGGCCGAGGGGCUGGGAGGUCCUCGUUAAAACCCAGCACGAACAUAAUUGCCAACGACAAUUAUGACUACGCAAUGGCUGCCUAAUUAGGCCAGCAUUGCUUGGCGGCAUAGACCGCCACAUCCGUGCGGUGGAUGUCUGAUAAGCCGUAUCCGGGUGUCAAACCCCAUCAGGCUGGCGAGAGGCCGCUGUCUGGACAGCCAAUCGCGAGACUUUAUCCGGGCUGGUUUGCGGGACGCCCGAUCAGGGGCAAGCCCGCGAGCAAGAUGUAAAACCUGAUCUAAGCCUGUAGAUGCUUUGCGCGGAGCAUUCUCGGACGGGAGUUCGAUUCUCCCCGGCUCCACCA
This 388-nucleotide transfer-messenger RNA is filed under the name Pseudomonadota bacterium. It matches the Rfam family "transfer-messenger RNA". Rfam says of the family: Bacterial tmRNA, also known as 10Sa RNA or SsrA, is named for its dual tRNA and mRNA-like properties. Lineage: Bacteria; Pseudomonadati; Pseudomonadota. The record is from RNAcentral.